AUAUAACCUGAGCGCCCGCGCGGCCACGACACGAGGAAUUCGCCCACGCAGGAGGCGCGGCGUCCGGAGGCCCCAGGGUUAUGAGACUAUCACUGCUCAGGACCUACUAACAACAAAGGGUCUGAUGAAGAAUAAAAGAGCCAAUGCAACAUCUUGUGGAACACCAGGACUGAGAACUCUUGUUGUUACCAUUGCAAAGAGGCGUUCUGGCGUCAGAUGCACAGUGAUUUGUAUGGUGGCAUAAUCAUUGGCUCCUGGCCAGGCAUUAUGUUUCAGAGGACACUAUUGUCAAGAACCAUUCAACUAGAAAUCUGCACUGUAUGCACUCAAAAGUUGAGAUCAUCUGCCUUCCUAUGACAGGAAGAAUUCUGUGCUGGCAAUUGACUCAUGGACUCUCUUCACAUACACUAAGGCUUGGUCCAGUGGCUCUGAUGGAAUUAACUGUGCAGCCAAACUAGUGGCAUUGACAAGACAGGGCCACAGUCUCUGGGGACUUCAGGAGAAAUUGCUAAUUUUAAAAUGCAGAGUAUUAUGUUAAUGCUGGAUUAAAUCUUCAGAUACAUUAAAUGUGGAUUUGG
Molecule: long non-coding RNA, 578 nt
Filed under: Homo sapiens (human)
Lineage: Eukaryota; Metazoa; Chordata; Mammalia; Primates; Hominidae
Description: non-protein coding lnc-CERKL-4:3
Source: RNAcentral